Molecule: long non-coding RNA, 1099 nt
Organism: Eriocheir sinensis (Chinese mitten crab)
Lineage: Eukaryota; Metazoa; Arthropoda; Malacostraca; Decapoda; Varunidae
Exons: 4
Source: RefSeq, a predicted model, not a curated record
ACUCCAGUUUUAUGUCUAAAAUAUGACACCAUCGUGUCGUUCAGGGCCUCCUCGUGAACCCUCUGCUCUCCCUAGAGUUGUCUCGGGCUGGCGGAGCCAUGCGGCCACGUGGACUUCUACCCUAACGCUGGAGAAUAUCAACCAGGCUGCUCUGACCUCUCCAAGCAAGGGGAGACGCGGGGCUGCAGCCACAGCAGAGCUCACGACUACUGGAUAGAGAGCAUCAACGGCGAGACGCCCUUCCUGGCCCGCCCCUGCAGCGACUGGGACGCCUACGUGGCCGGCGAGUGUGACAGCUGCGGCCAGGGCUGCCUCGAGAUGGGCUUCCACGUCCAGAAAGACCUCACGGGGAACUACUACCUCAGGACCAACGACGCCCCGCCCUUCGCCAUGGGAUAGACCAGUGGCGUGCUAAGUGAGGUGUGCCCGCCCCCGGGGUACGCAGCAUUACUCAGAGGGGCACGUGGGAAGACUGUCGUGUGUUCCGAAAUAUACAAGAGCCGUUGCUGUGCGUGGGAUAUUGGAAAUCUCUCCAAUGGAAAUAUACAUCACAUGUUGAAUGAUUUAUUAUUUGUUGUACCUGGUAUCGUGUAGGAACACAAAACCGAAUUAGUAUAAUCAUAUAUUCGUUGUAUCGCUGCCAACGGAUUUGACGUACACUGUUACCAAUGAUAUCUUGCCUCAAAGGUUUAUGUAAUGACUGAUACAUGUUAGGAAUGUUGUUCGUGGAAUGUGUUGCUUUUUCGACUUUACGGAAUAAAUAAAGUUGAAAGUCAAUUCAUGCUAGUUAUUACAUGUACAAUCAGGUGUAUGCCACAUUAAAUAUUGGAAACACUUAUCCACAAGGAUUUGUAUUUUAGAAAAGUAAAUUACAAACUUGUAAAAAUGUAUCGCCAGCAACAUCACAGAGACCGCCAGACUGGAAAGAAAAUUGUGAUUUCUCCCAGCUGCAGCGCUAAUGUAUUCACAGAAAAAAAAGAAAACAUUAAUAGAUUCAGUGUUUAACUCCGGACAUUGUUAUCAUGGAGACAAACAUGUGCAGACUCCAAAUUAUCAUCAACGAGGCCCAUAGAGUUUAAGCAUAUUUUCCCACUCAGAA